This 360-nucleotide ribosomal RNA is filed under the name uncultured bacterium. RNAcentral describes it as "bacterial SSU rRNA". It matches the Rfam family "Bacterial small subunit ribosomal RNA", at positions 8 to 353 of the family's 1533-position model. The record is from RNAcentral.
AGAGUUUGAUCAUGGCUCAGGAUGAACGCUAGCUACAGGCUUAACACAUGCAAGUCGAGGGGAAACGACAUACGAAAGCUUGUCUUUUGUAGUGGGCGUCGACCGGCGCACGGGUGAGUAACGCAUAUCCAACCUGCCCACCACUUGGGGAUAACCUUGCGAAAGUAAGACUAAUACCCAAUGAUAUCUCUAGAAGACAUCUGAAAGAGAUUAAAGAUUUAUCGGUGAUGGAUGGGGAUGCGUCUGAUUAGCUUGUUGGCGGGGUAACGGCCCACCAAGGCAACGAUCAGUAGGGGUUCUGAGAGGAAGGUCCCCCACAUUGGAACUGAGACACGGUCCAAACUCCUACGGGAGGCAGCA